GAUGAACGCUGGCGGCGUGCCUAAUACAUGCAAGUCGAUCGAACGGACGAGAAGCUUGCUUCUCUGAUGUUAGCGGCGGACGGGUGAGUAACACGUGGAUAACCUACCUAUAAGACUGGGAUAACUUCGGGAAACCGGAGCUAAUACCGGAUGAUAUUUUGAACCGCAUGGUUCAAAAGUGAAAGACGGUCUUGCUGUCACUUAUAGAUGGAUCCGCGCUGCAUUAGCUAGUUGGUAAGGUAACGGCUUACCAAGGCAACGAUGCAUAGCCGACCUGAGAGGGUGAUCGGCCACACUGGAACUGAGACACGGUCCAGACUCCUACGGGAGGCAGCAGUAGGGAAUCUUCCGCAAUGGGCGAAAGCCUGACGGAGCAACGCCGCGUGAGUGAUGAAGGUCUUCGGAUCGUAAAACUCUGUUAUUAGGGAAGAACAUAUGUGUAAGUAACUGUGCACAUCUUGACGGUACCUAAUCAGAAAGCCACGGCUAACUACGUG
This 497-nucleotide ribosomal RNA is filed under the name uncultured bacterium. RNAcentral describes it as "partial 16S ribosomal RNA". It matches the Rfam family "Bacterial small subunit ribosomal RNA", at positions 28 to 507 of the family's 1533-position model. The record is from RNAcentral.